This 3525-nucleotide long non-coding RNA is filed under the name Medicago truncatula (barrel medic). RNAcentral's name for it is "long non-coding RNA (MTRU_LNC003825)". Lineage: Eukaryota; Viridiplantae; Streptophyta; Magnoliopsida; Fabales; Fabaceae. The record is from RNAcentral.
UAAACACUAAAAUUCUACCAUGGCUGCUUCAACAAUGUCUCUCUCUUCUUCAUCAUUGGUUGGGAAGGCAAUCAAGCUUUCCCCCUCUACUCCAGACCUUGUCAUGGGAAGAAUUACCAUGAGGAAAACAACCACCAAGAAGAAUGUUCCUUCUGGAAGCCCAUGGUACGGUCCAGACCGUGUCAAGUACUUGGGUCCAUUCUCUGGUGAAGCUCCAUCUUACCUUACUGGUGAAUUUCCCGGUGACUAUGGAUGGGACACUGCUGGACUUUCUGCUGAUCCGGAGACCUUCUCUAAAAACCGUGAACUAGAGGUCAUUCACAGUAGGUGGGCUAUGUUGGGAGCCUUGGGAUGUGUCUUCCCUGAGCUCUUGGCUCGCAAUGGUGUUAAAUUCGGUGAGGCCGUGUGGUUCAAGGCAGGAUCUCAAAUCUUUAGUGAGGGUGGACUUGACUACUUGGGAAAUCCAAGUCUAGUCCAUGCACAAAGCAUCCUUGCUAUAUGGGCUGUCCAAGUUAUCUUAAUGGGUGCUGUUGAGGGUUAUCGUAUUGCAGGUGGACCUCUCGGUGAGGUUGUCGACCCACUCUACCCAGGUGGUAGUUUUGACCCAUUAGGCCUAGCUGAUGACCCAGAGGCUUUUGCAGAGUUAAAGGUGAAAGAACUCAAAAAUGGAAGGUUAGCUAUGUUUUCCAUGUUUGGAUUCUUUGUUCAAGCUAUUGUAACCGGAAAAGGACCUAUAGAGAAUCUUGCUGACCACCUUGCUGACCCAGUUAACAACAAUGCAUGGGCCUAUGCCACAAACUUUGCCCCUGGAAAGUGAGCCAAAACUACACCAUACCAAUGAGAAGUGAUUUCUGAAGCAAACAAUGAGAAUUCAUAUGCUUUGAGAAACAUAUGGUGCAUUUAGAUUUUUUUAAUUCUUUCAAGUUUGUACUUUUUAAGAGAGUGAAAUGAAUGUGAUUAUGUGAAUGAUGAUCAUGCAUAUUAUCAACACUGUAGCAGACCUAAUGAAAUGCCAAAGUAUUGUGCAGUUGAUUCUUCCAAAAUUCUAAGUCACUUGUGAUUGCAUCUAUUAUUGUCUGCAUUAUUGAUAAGUAUAAGAAAUCAAUUGUAAUUUUUCAAUCAAAUAAUAGGUGUAUCAAUGUAAAUAUAAAAUAAAAAAAUGUCUAAUUUAGUUUUAGUUUUUGUGUGUGUAGAAUAUAGAGACAGUAAGUGAUUUUAAAAAUGCUAUAACUUUUGCUAAAAACACUGCCAUUCAAUAUAAAAUCUAGAUUUCUUUAAAAAUGAAACAUUUCAAUAUUUUUUUUUUUUACCAUGUUAUAAGUACGAAAGUGAUUAAUCUCUAAAGGUUGUCAAAAUCGGGACUUUACUUCAGGUCGAAAAGGGAAUAGCAAAAUCAGGACUCGUAAAAUCGCAAUCAAAAUCGUAGGAAUUUACUCAACUACUCUUGUAGAAUAGAUAUAAGAAAUUGUAAAAUCGCAAUCAAAAUCGAUGAGUUUUACCAAAACAAAAAUAAUGCUAAAAACAUAGACCAAAACAUAAAUGACUCAGAUUAAAGUCCACAAAAUACUUAAACAUAAAUGACUAAAAAAAUGGAAAAAAUUCUUCAAAACCCUUUAACAUCAUGCAAUUUUGUUUGAAAUCUUAAAAUCGCGAUGGAUUUGAGUCGUUGAAGGUGAAGAAAGUCGCGAAAUUCUGGAUUUUAGAAUUUAAGUCGGAAUUUUGAAAACACCAAAAAUACAUAAGAUAUGUUCUCUCUUUUCAUCCGAAUUUUCUCUAUCGAACUUGUGAGCACUUGUUUAAAGAGUCCAAAAUUCUUACAAUUUGAAUCAAUCCACUACUAGUAAUAUUUGUUUCUUAUACAUAUCAACCAAUUACUUCAUUUUAAGAGAACUUGGUUUACAAUGUGGGAAGGAAUUUCCUAGACACAACAAAUCAUGAGUACAAAGCUUCCCAAUUCUUCUUGAAUAAGUUUUUUGAGCGGUGGAAAACUUAUGUUAAAGACUUGAUAUUUUUCAAAUGCAUGCAUGUUUUGCUCAUAUAAUAAUGUUACAAUUUUCAUAGUUGUUGUAUAUAUAAAGUAGUUUUUCAAAACUUAAAUUUAUAAAAUUUAAUAAAGAUCAACAUUGUGUCAAUAAAAAUUAAAUAUCAAUUACUUUAAAACUAGUCUUGGAAUUAUUUUAGGUCUCAAUUGAUAUUUAGGUUGGCCCUGGCAUCUCUAUUAACCGAUGAUGUGAAUAAUUAAUUGCAUAAUGUGGCCGUGAUUGAAUUCUCUCAAGUGUGAAUUUGAGUAAAGUGUGAUCUCUAAUCAUCCAUAUUUCUAAUAUCUUAAUUUUUCAUGUGUUUCUCUCUAACAAGAUAUCAUACUUGACAUCUUUUGUGAAAAUCACCUAGGAGAGGAUCCAUUUUCAAUGUGACAUUGCAGCUUAAAAAUGUCUGAAAUUAGUUAUGUCUACCACUCAAGAUAUAUAUUCUGUUAUAGUUGAGUCAGUUUAGAACGAGCCGGAUUGGUCAGUUCAAUUGGUUGAACCGAAAACUAAAUUGAAUCGUGCUUCGAUUGCAGUUGGCUCAACCAGUUCAACUGAUCGAUUGAACCAAUUUAACCAUGACUUGAGAGAAUCACAUGGUUGACUUUCAUUUCGGUUUUUAAAUUAUUGAGUUGAAUUUUGGCUGCUGUUAACUAGUAACUCCAUUUAUUUAUUUUUUUACUUAGUUAUAAUAAAAAAAAAAAAUAACUCAGGCAUUACAUAAAAUUUAAAUUAAGUUUUCACAAGACAGUUUAGCAAAGCAAAAUUAUUAGAUAUCCUUAUCAGUAGAAAGUACAAUAGCUAACUACGUACGGACAUGUGUAUUUUGCAGUGAUUACAAUAAAUACAUAAGUAGAAUAAAUUUGUUUUGUUCAUUUGAUGCAAACAGAAGAAACUAUUAAUGGGACCAGUGCACUGUGUGGUCCCUUUUCUGUAAAUCUAUUGAUUAUUAUCCCAUCAAGUAAUCAUAAAUGACAAUUUCUUAUUGGAUGGAACAAGUUUUUCAUGAUAUUCAAUUGUCAUAUUCUGGAUAUUUGAUAUUUUUUGAAAUAAUAAUUCUGAAGAGAAAUAUAUGUGGUUUGAGAUGUAAGUGUAAUGCUCCAAACCAAUAGAAAAUCAAGAUAUAGAUUUCAUAAGAUAUGGACCUCUAGUUUUUCUUGAUGAAUUAACAUAUAAAUAGUACCACUAGGACAUAACAAAGCAUCAUCAAUAACCAUCCUCUUCAUUUUCAAUAGAGCUAUUUAUUUGCAUUUAACUAAGUUGCAAAUAAAAUACUAGAAUGGCUACAUCAACAAUGGCUCUCUCUUCUUCAACAAUGGUUGGGAAGGCAAUCAAGCUUUCCCCUUCCACUCCAGACCUUGUGAUGGGAAGAAUCACCAUGAGGAAAACAACCAACAAGAAGAACGUCCCUUCUGGAAGCCCGUGGUACGGUCCAGAUCGUGUCAAAUACUUGGGUCCAUUCUCUGGUGAAGCUCCAUCUUAUCUCACUGGUGAAUUUCCU